UACAGGGGGGGCAAGCGUUGUUCGGAAUUACUGGGCGUAAAGGGCUCGUAGGGGGCCAACUAAGUCAGACGUGAAAUCCCUCAGCUUAACUGGGGAACUGCGUCUGAUACUGGAUGGCUUGAGUUUGGGAGAGGGAUGCGGAAUUCCAGGUGUAGCGGUGAAAUGCGUAGAUAUCUGGAGGAACACCGGUGGCGAAGGCGGCAUCCUGGACCAACACUGACACUGAGGAGCGAAAGCCAGGGGAGCAAACGGG
This 253-nucleotide ribosomal RNA is filed under the name uncultured bacterium. Its description in RNAcentral is "partial 16S ribosomal RNA". It matches the Rfam family "Bacterial small subunit ribosomal RNA", at positions 524 to 776 of the family's 1533-position model. The record is from RNAcentral.